GACGAACGCUGGCGGCGUGCUUAACACAUGCAAGUCGAACGGAAAGGCCCUGCUUUUGUGGGGUGCUCGAGUGGCGAACGGGUGAGUAACACGUGAGUAACCUGCCCUUGACUUUGGGAUAACUUCAGGAAACUGGGGCUAAUACGGGCUAGGAGCUCCUGCUGCAUGGUGGGGGUUGGAAAGUUUCGGCUGUUGGCGAUGUACUCGCGGCUUAUCAGCUUGUUGGUGGGGUAGUGGCUUACCAAGGCUUUGACGGGUGGCCGGCCUGAGAGGGGGACCGGCCACACUGGGCCGGGAAUGCGACACGGCCCCGACCGGGAGGGGACGGUGCGGAAGGGUGUAUUAGGGGAGGGGCGAUAAUCCAGCACAGCCGCGUCGGGGGAGUGGGGAUGGGGUUAGGGUUCCAAUUCCGCUUGACCCGGGAUGAGAAUGACGGUAACGGGAAAAGAAGCUCCGGCUAACUACGUG
This 468-nucleotide ribosomal RNA is filed under the name uncultured bacterium. RNAcentral describes it as "partial 16S ribosomal RNA". It matches the Rfam family "Bacterial small subunit ribosomal RNA", at positions 28 to 507 of the family's 1533-position model. The record is from RNAcentral.